AAAAAAAAAAAAUUAAAAAUGGCACACACAAAAAAAGAGAAAGGUUUAUACAAACCUCACCCCCACACUUGAACUUAAUGUUAAAAUGAUAGAAUCAGACAAAAACCGCAAUGAGAAAUUCAAGUGUGAAGAAAGUCGGGUGAAGGCCCAAAAUAAUUAAUAACUAUGGUCAAGAAAAGUUAAAGAGUACUCCUUUUGUAGAUCUCCCAAUGCACACAACCUUCGGUGAAGAUAUGAUAGACACCAUCCACAAGGAAACAAGGCCUUGACUUCCUCAAAGAAAAAUGCACCUCACACGUUGUAGCCCUUUGCCCAUUAAAACUGCUCUCUAGGGCUCAAUGUAGCUUCAAAUCAAGUGUGGCCAAAAAUCUCAGAAGUAUGGAGUAAUAGAAAAAAGAAUGUAGGGUGAACAAAGUAUAAUUGAAAAAAUGAUAUUUUAGGUAUUGUAAAUGGGUGAACAAAGUAGAUUUACAAAUAAAAAUAUAUAAAUGGGGUGUGAAAAGAAUGUGGGGUGAAGAAAGUGGUUUGUGGGGGUGGCAAUAGACACACCCGGUUGCUAUUAAAUUGGAAAAGAAUCUCAUUCAAUCUAGACACUAGAUAAGAAUCCCAACUUGUAUCAAACUAGAAAUGAAACCAAAAUCGUUUCUCAGGAAUUGCAGAUUAGCACACUCCCCUCCUUGAUACAAUUUGUAAAGUCAAAUAGACAAGUUGCAUGUGUUUACCGACUCAAUCAAAAUUGUUUGUAAGCCAAAUUCCCAAUGUUUUGCUGGGCAAAAAGAACGAAAUUGGGAAGGACUAAGUGAUGGGUUUUGGUAUAUAAACAAUAAUAUUUGAAUUUUUGAUUUUUGUUCAUAUAUAUAAUAAAAUUACUUAUUUCUCUUCUUUUAGAUCGUUUGAUUCCAUUAAUCAUGGAUUGUAUACUUGCAUAUUAACUUGUUCUGGGCUGUGUGUAAGAGGGAAGAAAACUAGUUUUUUUUUUUAAUUUUUUUUUCUUUUUUAUGCUUAGAAGAAGAAGAAGAAUGACAGAAGGAGAGAAGAAGGAAAGAAGAAAAUGGUUAUGCACAAUAGAACUGAAAACUUGCACAUGAGUUAAUAGUUAAUGUCCUCUCUGGUAUUUUCAUUUGUACACAAAGUAUGAUUUUAAAUGUCAAAAUUUAAGGAUGUGUAUGUUGUAUUAUGAGCAAAUAAAAUUACUCUAAAGAUUAUUGAGCUCUUAUGUAUAAAGAUUAUUAUAUUUUUAAGAAAAAAAAGAAUAAUAUAGGGAAUAAAUAGGUAUAACAAAAAAAACAAAAAAAACUUCUCAUUUUUGGCUGAAAAUUCAAGUUUGCCGCGAAAGUGUCCUUCCCGCGCGGCCUCAAAUGUCCUCCGGCCCCUAAAAAUUCUGGAGCCUCGUUGUCAAGCGCGCGCUGAAUGAUAGAACACGGCUUCUCUCUCAAAUCUCAGGCUGAAAGAUAGAAAACGCCAGCCCUGGCUGCUCUGAAUCUCCCAACGCUC
RNAcentral lists this long non-coding RNA (1494 nucleotides) under Fragaria vesca (wild strawberry). RNAcentral describes it as "long non-coding RNA (FVES_LNC004523)". The record is from RNAcentral. Lineage: Eukaryota; Viridiplantae; Streptophyta; Magnoliopsida; Rosales; Rosaceae.